AACGCAUAUUGCGCUCUUUGGUAUUCCGAAGAGCAUGCUUGUUUGAGUAUCAGUAAACACCUCAAAGCUUUUGGAUUUUUUUUUGAAAGUUUUGGACUUGAGCAAUCCCAACACCAAUCUUUUUCAGAUCGGUGGCGGGUUGCUUGAAAUACAGGUGCAGCUGGACAUUCUCCUGAGCUAAAAGCAUAUUCAUUUAGUCCCGUCAAACGGAUUAUUACUUUUGCUGCAGCUAACAUAAAGGGGGUUGACCGUAUUGUGACUGUUGCAGGAUUUCACAAGGGUCGGCAACGAUUCUUGUUAAACUCGAUCUCAAAUCAAGUAAGACUACCAGCUGAACUUAA
RNAcentral lists this unclassified non-coding RNA (341 nucleotides) under uncultured Mortierella. RNAcentral describes it as "sequence contains ITS2". Lineage: Eukaryota; Fungi; Mortierellomycota; Mortierellomycetes; Mortierellales; Mortierellaceae. The record is from RNAcentral.